Molecule: ribosomal RNA, 439 nt
Filed under: uncultured bacterium
Lineage: Bacteria
Description: partial 16S ribosomal RNA
Rfam family: Bacterial small subunit ribosomal RNA
Source: RNAcentral
CCUACGGGUGACAGCAGUGGGGAAUAUUGCACAAUGGGGGAAACCCUGAUGCAGCGACGCCGCGUGAGUGAAGAAGAACCUCGGUAUGUAAAGCUCUAUCAGCAGGGAAAAAAAUGACGGUACCUGACUAAGAAGCCGCGGCUAAUUACGGGCCAGCAGCCGCGGUAAUACGUGGGGGCAAGCGUUAUCCGGAUUUACUGGGUGUAAGGGGAGCGUAGACGGCGCUGCAAGUCCGGAGUGAAAGCCCAUGGCGUAACCAUGGUACUGCUCUGGAAACGGGGGGGCUUGAGUGCGGGAGGGGCAAGCGGAAUUCCUAGUGUAGCGGUGAAAUGCGUAGAUAUUAGGAGGAACACCGGCGGCGAAGGCGGCCUGCUGGACCGUAACUGACGUUGAGGCUCGAAAGCGUGGGGAGCAAACAGGAUUAGAUACCCUAGUAGUC